RNAcentral lists this ribosomal RNA (301 nucleotides) under uncultured bacterium. Its description in RNAcentral is "partial 16S ribosomal RNA". It matches the Rfam family "Bacterial small subunit ribosomal RNA", at positions 509 to 809 of the family's 1533-position model. The record is from RNAcentral.
CAGCAGCCGCGGUAAUACCGAGGGUGCGAGCGUUAAUCGGAUUUACUGGGCGUAAAGCGUGCGUAGGCGGCUUCUUAAGUCGGAUGUGAAAUCCCUGAGCUUAACUUAGGAAUUGCAUUCGAUACUGGGAAGCUAGAGUAUGGGAGAGGAUGGUAGAAUUCCAGGUGUAGCGGUGAAAUGCGUAGAGAUCUGGAGGAAUACCGAUGGCGAAGGCAGCCAUCUGGCCUAAUACUGACGCUGAGGUACGAAAGCAUGGGGAGCAAACAGGAUUAGAUACCCCUGUAGUCCCUGUCUCUUAUAU